CCGCUGUGAGCGGAGUGAAAUAGAACCUGAAACCGUAUGUCUACAAAGUGUCAGAGCAGAGCAAUCUGCGAUGGCGUGCCUUUUGUUUAAUGAGUCUGCGAGUCAGUGUUUGUGGCAAGACUAAGGGCUUCCGGCCCGGAGUCGCAGCGAAAGCAAGUCCGAACAGGGCGCAAUAAGUCGCAGGUACUGGACCCGAAGCGGAGGUGACCUACCCUUGGCCAGGUUGAAGCAUGGGUAAAACCAUGUGGAGGACCGAACAGGUGAACGUUGAAAAGUUCUCUGAUGAGCUGAGGGUAGGAGUGAAAGGCUAAUCAAACCCCGUGAUAGCUGGUUCUCUUCGAAAUGCAUUUAGGUGCAGCGUCACGUGCUGAUGCGCGGGGGUAGAGCACUGACAAGGCUAGGGGGCACACCCGCUUACCAAACCUUAUCAAACUCCGAAUACCGUGCAAUGGAACGUGGCAGUGAGACAGUGGGGGAUAAGCUUCAUUGUCGAGAGGGAAACAACCCAGACCAGCAGCUAAGGUGCCUAAAUAACGCUCAGUGGAAAGGAUGUGGGAUUACACAGACAGUGAGGAUGUUGGCUUAGAAGCAGCCACCAUUUAAAAAAUGCGUAAUAGCUUACUCAUCGAGUGAUCCUGCGCCGAAAAUGAUUGGCGAUCAAGCGUUAUACCGAAGCUCUGGACUUUGCCGCAAGGCAGAGUGGUAGAAGAGCGUUGCAUGCGCGUCGAAGGGCGAUGGCGACUGACCCUGGAGCACAUGCAAGUGAGUAUGCAGACAUGAGUAACGUUAAGCCGGGUGAAAUCCCCGGCCGCCGUAAACCCGAGGUUUCCAGGGCAACGUGUUUCGUCCCUGGGUUAGCCGGGACCUAAGCCGAGGCCGAGAGGCGUAGGCGAUGGACAUCAGGUUAAUAAUCCUGAGCUCGCAACCCUUAAACUGGGGGGACGCAUGAGAAAAGAUGACUAGGUUAUUGAAUUCCGAGUUGAGUCCACGGACUCAGCGCAUCAUUGGAUCGAGUGCCAAGAAAAGCCCCAGCGUAUGCUAAGCGACCCGUACCGCAAACCGACACAGGUGGGUGGGUAGAAUAUACCAAGGCGUAAGAGUGAAACCUGGUUAAGGAACUCGGCAAAUUAGCCCCGUAACUUCGGAAGAAGGGGUGCCUGCAGCGAUGCAGGCCGCAGAGAAAUGGCCCAACCGACUGUUUAUCAAAAACACAGCACUCUGCAAAGACGCAAGUCGAAGUAUAGGGUGUGACACGUGACCAAUGCCGAAAGAUUAAGGCAAGGGGUUAGCCGCAAGGCGAAGCUCUAAACCCAAGUCCCGGUGAAUGUCGGCCGUAACUAUAACGGUCCUAAGGUAGCGAAAUUCCUUGUCGGGUAAGUUCCGACCUGCACGAAUCGUGAAACGAGUUGGGCACUGUCUCAACCAGGCGCUCAGUGAAAUUGUAGUGGCGGUGAAGAUGCCGCCUACCCGCAGAAGGACGGAAAGACCCUAUAGACCUUAACUGUAAGCUGUCAUUGUUUCUUCGGUUUUAAUGCUCAGAGUAAGUGGGAGACGCUGAAGACGCCCUUUAGGGGGCGUCCGAGUCAUCAAUGAGACACCACCCUUUGAAACUGGAGGAUCUAACCCUGAGCCGUGAAUCCGGCCAGAGGACCGUGUCAGCCGGUCAGUUUUACUGGGGCGGUAUCCUCCCAAAGAGUAACGGAGGAGCGCGAAGGUGGGCUCAGCCCGGUUGGCAACCGGGUGUCGAGUGCAUGGGCAUAAGCCCGCCUAACUGUGAGACCAACAAGUCGAGCAGAUGCGAAAGCAGGCCCAAGUGAUCCGGCGGUAGAAAGUGGAAUUGCCGUCGCUCAACGGAUAAAAGGUACCUUAGGGAUAACAGGCUGAUCACGCCCAAGAGUUCAUAUCGACGGCGUGGUUUGGCACCUCGAUGUCGGCUCG
This 1938-nucleotide ribosomal RNA is filed under the name human gut metagenome. RNAcentral describes it as "bacterial LSU rRNA". It matches the Rfam family "Bacterial large subunit ribosomal RNA", at positions 524 to 2539 of the family's 2925-position model. The record is from RNAcentral.